Molecule: long non-coding RNA, 272 nt
Filed under: Trifolium pratense (red clover)
Lineage: Eukaryota; Viridiplantae; Streptophyta; Magnoliopsida; Fabales; Fabaceae
Description: long non-coding RNA (TPRA_LNC013911)
Source: RNAcentral
GAUCAUUACAAGUCCAAAGAGAUAGUGCACUUAAAGCUCAUCAUGGAGAUAAAUCUCAAAAAGGACAUGAUAGUGUGAUUAUUCAAAAUUCAACCUCCUCCAGCUCUUUACAUCAACGUCCCAACAUGAAGGGGAUCAAUGGAGAUGACUUAGUUGAAAUGCAAAUGGAAGAGCUUCAAUCUAGUGCGAAUGAUGGUUUGAACAUGCAAAAAAAUAGCCCAAACGAAGGGCAUGCUCAGGCUUGCUCUAUGAUAUUAUAAUGAGUGUUUUUU